RNAcentral lists this ribosomal RNA (365 nucleotides) under Muribaculaceae bacterium. RNAcentral describes it as "partial 23S ribosomal RNA". It matches the Rfam family "Bacterial large subunit ribosomal RNA", at positions 2537 to 2915 of the family's 2925-position model. Lineage: Bacteria; Pseudomonadati; Bacteroidota; Bacteroidia; Bacteroidales; Muribaculaceae. The record is from RNAcentral.
UCGUCACAUCCCGGGGCUGGAGAAGGUCCCAAGGGUUAGGCUGUUCGCCUAUUAAAGUGGCACGCGAGCUGGGUUCAGAACGUCGUGAGACAGUUCGGUCCCUAUCUGUUGUGGGCGCAGGAGAUUUGCGAGGCCCCGACACUAGUACGAGAGGACCGUGUUGGACAGACCUCCGGUGCACCGGUUGUUCCGCCAGGAGCACAGCCGGGUAGCCGCGUCUGGGCAGGAUAAGUGCUGAAAGCAUCUAAGCACGAAGCCGGCUCCAAGAUUAGAUCUCAUCAAGGGCCGUUGCAGACGACGACGUCGAUAGGCCGCAGGUGUACGCAUGGCGACAUGCUCAGCCGAGCGGUACUAAUUGCCCGAAA